UACGGGGGGGGCAAGCGUUGUUCGGAAUUACUGGGCGUAAAGGGCUCGUAGGCGGCCAACUAAGUCCGACGUGAGAUCCCAAGGCUUAACCUUGGAACUGCGUCGGAUACUGGAUGGCUUGAAUUCGGGAGAGGGAUGCAGAAUUCCAGGUGUAGCGGUGAAAUGCGUAGAUAUCUGGAGGAACACCGGUGGCGAAGGCGGCAUCCUGGACCGAUACUGACACUGAGGAGCGAAAGCCAGGGGAGCAAACGGG
RNAcentral lists this ribosomal RNA (253 nucleotides) under uncultured bacterium. Its description in RNAcentral is "partial 16S ribosomal RNA". It matches the Rfam family "Bacterial small subunit ribosomal RNA", at positions 524 to 776 of the family's 1533-position model. The record is from RNAcentral.